UACAGAGGGGGCAAGCGUUGUUCGGAAUUACUGGGCGUAAAGGGCGCGUAGGCGGCCCGCUAAGUCGAACGUGAAAUCCCUGGGCUCAACCCAGGAACUGCGUCCGAUACUGGCAGGCUUGAAUCCGGGAGAGGGAUGCGGAAUUCCAGGUGUAGCGGUGAAAUGCGUAGAUAUCUGGAGGAACACCAAUGGCGAAGGCAGCACUCUGGGACGUGACUGACGCUGAGACGCGAAAGCGUGGGGAGCAAACAGG
RNAcentral lists this ribosomal RNA (253 nucleotides) under uncultured bacterium. RNAcentral describes it as "partial 16S ribosomal RNA". It matches the Rfam family "Bacterial small subunit ribosomal RNA", at positions 524 to 776 of the family's 1533-position model. The record is from RNAcentral.